RNAcentral lists this ribosomal RNA (468 nucleotides) under uncultured bacterium. RNAcentral describes it as "partial 16S ribosomal RNA". It matches the Rfam family "Bacterial small subunit ribosomal RNA", at positions 28 to 507 of the family's 1533-position model. The record is from RNAcentral.
GACGAACGCUGGCGGCGUGCUUAACACAUGCAAGUCGAACGGAAAGGCCCUGCUUUUGUGGGGUGCUCGAGUGGCGAAAGGGUGAGUAACACGCGAGUAACCUGCGCUCGACUUUGGGAUAACUUCAGGAAACUGGGGCUCAAAUAGCGUAGGAGCCCCUGCUGCAUGGUGGGGGGUGGAAAGUUUCGGCGGUUGGGGUUAGGCUCGUGUCUGUUCAGCUUGUUGGUGGGGUAGUGGCUUACCCAGGCUUUGACGGGUAGCCGGCCUGGGAGGGUGACCGGCCACAUUGGGACUGAGAUACGGCCCAGACUCCUACGGGAGGCAGCAGUGGGGAAUAUUGCACAAUGGGCGGAAGCCUGUUGCAGCAACGCCGCGUGCGGGAUGACGGCCUUCGGGUUGGAAACCGCUUUCGCCUGUGACGAAGCGUGAGUGACGGUAAUGUGUAAAGAAGCACCGGCUAACUACGUG